AUGCAUGUNUAAGUAUAAGCAAAUUAUACGGCGAAACUGCGAAUGGCUCAUUAUAUAAGUUAUCGUUUAUUUGAUAGUGCCCUACUACUUGGACAACUGUGGUAAUUCUAGAGCUAAUACAUGCUGAAAAUCCCGACUUCGGAAGGGAUGAAUUUAUUAGAUUAAAAACCAACGCCCUCUGGGCUCUCUGGUGAUUCAUGAUAACUGUUCGAAUCGCAUGGCCUUGCGCCGGCGAUGGCUCAUUCAAAUUUCUUCCCUAUCAACUUUCGAUGUUUGGGUAGUGGCCAAACAUGGUUGCAACGGGUAACGGAGGGUUAGGGCUCGAUCCCGGAGAAGGAGCCUGAGAGACGGCUACUACAUCCAAGGAAGGCAGCAGGCGCGCAAAUUACCCAAUCCCGAUACGGGGAGGUAGUGACAAUAAAUACUGAUACAGGGCUCUUUUGGGUCUUGUAAUUGGAAUGAGUACAAUUUAAAUCCCUUAACGAGNANNNNNNNNNNNNNNNNNNNNNNNNNNNNNNNNNNNNNNNNUCCAGNUCCAAUAGNGUAUAUUAAAGUUGUUGUGGUUAAAAAGCUCGUAGUUGAACCUUGGGCCUGGCUGGCCGGUCCGCCUCACCGCGUGUACUGGUCCGGCCGGGCCUUUCCCUCUGUGGAACCCCAUGCCCUUCGCUGGGCGUGGCGGGGAAACAGGACUUUUACUUGGAAAAAAUUAGAGUGCUCCAGGCAGGCCUAUGCUCGAAUACAUUAGCAUGGAAUAAUGAAAUAGGACGUGCGGUUCUAUUUUGUUGGUUUCUAGGACCGCCGUAAUGAUUAAUAGGGACAGUCGGGGGCAUCAGUAUUCAAUUGUCAGAGGUGAAAUUCUUGGAUUUAUUGAAGACUAACUACUGCGAAAGCAUUUGCCAAGGAUGUUUUCAUUAAUCAGGAACGAAAGUUAGGGGAUCGAAGACGAUCAGAUACC
RNAcentral lists this ribosomal RNA (955 nucleotides) under Myriogenospora atramentosa. RNAcentral's name for it is "partial 18S ribosomal RNA". It matches the Rfam family "Eukaryotic small subunit ribosomal RNA", at positions 51 to 1016 of the family's 1831-position model. The record is from RNAcentral. Lineage: Eukaryota; Fungi; Ascomycota; Sordariomycetes; Hypocreales; Clavicipitaceae.